Oncorhynchus kisutch (coho salmon) is the source of this 1513-nucleotide long non-coding RNA. RefSeq lists it as uncharacterized. NCBI's taxonomy places the organism in Eukaryota, Metazoa, Chordata, Actinopteri, Salmoniformes, Salmonidae. The transcript has 3 exons. The record is from RefSeq and is a predicted model, not a curated record.
GAGAGAGAGAGAGAGCUGUUUCUUCUGCUGUACUGUAGUUUGGAAGUCACAGAAAUAGCGGAGUCUUGCAGGAGACAACUUGAAGGGCUUUGGUGGUAUAAAUACAUAAAUAAAUAUAUAUAUAUAAAUACCCUGCUUUAAACAGAUUAAAGAAAACGCUCCGUCACCUGUCACCACCACCCUCAGGGGAGGGAGAGAGAAGACAGGAGGAGGAACAUACUGGAACUUACAGAAGGAAGAGGAAGGAGUUGAGGUAUCUAGUCUGUAUAUUGGACAGUGGUUGGUACGUGUGUGGAAAACAUCAACUCCUCUACUGUUCUCUAUGACCGGCUGCUCUGAACUCACCUGGACGGACAGAUGAGAAGGAGAGAACACAGGGAAGGACAGUAGUGGCUCAGAGAGAGCUGCAGCUCGUCGGGCAGAGGACGACAGACUACCCACCAAAACGACCGGCUGGCUGACCGAACGAUCGACUCCUCCCUUUCGGUGGCUUUAUUGAAUGGGACCCUGGGCACAGCGGAGCUGGAGAAUUUAAAAUACGUGUCCCUCAGGAGUACUCCUGUCCUACACGCGUAGCUGUGCCCCGAGCAGCGAAACACACAGCCAAUAAAUCAAUAGCAGGGACCUCAGAUUCCUCCAUUACCACCUCCCCCCCCCGGCUGGCCUGGCGGAGGACAGCAGCAGAGCUACAGAUGAGAACCUGCUGACCAGGGCGUAACCACCACAGCCCCUGGAGGACAGCCCUGGGGGACAGCCCUGGAGGACAGCCGUGGAGGACAGCCGUGGAGGACAGCUGUGGAGGACAGCCCUGGGGGACAGCCGUGGAGGACAGCCCUAGAGGACAGCCCUGGGGGACAGCCCUAGAGGACAGCCCUGGGGGACAGCCCUGGUUCUGAACCCUCUCUAACCAUCAACACAAGACAAGGGUGUUCUGACUGCAGUGGUGAGGAGGGCGGAGGCCUGGUUGUGGUCCCUCUGGUUCCAUUCGGAGCUACAAUACACCCGAAGGCAGCUAAACACAGAGAAGCCCACAAUGACAUCCUGAAAAUACUUAUUUUAUAGCUAUUUUGUCUCUCCUCUUAUUUCUAGACCUUCAAGUCCUUGUGUUUUUAUUCAAGCAGGUUUUGACACAGGGAGAAAAGAAGCAUUGUCCGUGAUGAUGCUUUCUGAGGAUUACGUCUUGAUGUUUGACAGUUAUAGGGAAAUUGAAUUCAGGCUUUAAAAAACCCCCGUCCCAAUAUUUCCCUUGUCCUCUGUCGCUAUAGUAAUCAAGGUUGUCCGCGUUCAGAGUGUUAUUUGAGACUGAGCAACAAUAGCAUGUUCAUGACCGUAUACACACUCCAUCAUGUGAGAGGAGAGACAAGGGCCCCAGAGCCUUAAUCCACCGGCCCCUGGAACAGAUCAUAUCUGACGUGUGACAAGAAAGAGACAACACAACAGAACCCAACCCAACAGAACCCAACAGAACACAACACAACAGAACACAACAGAACCCAACCCAACAGAACACAAC